RNAcentral lists this transfer RNA (73 nucleotides) under Bos taurus (domestic cattle). RNAcentral describes it as "tRNA-Gly (CCC) (tRNA-Gly-CCC-18-1, tRNA-Gly-CCC-18-2)". It matches the Rfam family "tRNA". From Rfam's summary of the family: Transfer RNA (tRNA) molecules are approximately 80 nucleotides in length. Their secondary structure includes four short double-helical elements and three loops (D, anti-codon, and T loops). Lineage: Eukaryota; Metazoa; Chordata; Mammalia; Artiodactyla; Bovidae. RNAcentral also lists the same sequence under 5 other names. The record is from Rfam by way of RNAcentral.
UCCCUGGUGGUCCAGUGGCUAAGACUCUGCACUCCCAGUGCAGGGGGCCCAGGUUUGAUUCCUGGCCAGGGAA